Molecule: long non-coding RNA, 219 nt
Filed under: Nicotiana benthamiana
Lineage: Eukaryota; Viridiplantae; Streptophyta; Magnoliopsida; Solanales; Solanaceae
Description: long non-coding RNA (NBEN_LNC006567)
Source: RNAcentral
GGUUGGUGUACACGUUGGUUUGGAGCCCUGCGGGCUCGGGUGUGUUUUGGAUAGGACACGGAGUAGAAUUUAACUUAGGAUGUUUCGGGUUUUUAGCUGGUAUAUUGCAGUUCUGCAAGCUUCGUAUUCGUGAAGCCUGGCUCGCAAAUGCAAAAAAGACCUGGUCUACCUUGGGGUCACAAAUGCAAUGUAGUCAUCACAAAGGAGAUAUCGCAAACA